GGCGACUGAACUUUAUCUGGCCAUGGGGGCACCAGGGGCGGAGAUGGCUCCCGACGCAAGAUCAGACAAGUCCACGCCAUGCCAAUACUCAGGUGAUGUUGCAAAACUCACUCUGGAGAUUCAAGAUAGCCAGACAGUGGGAUAGUUGGGUUUUGUAUCAAGCAAGUUUUUCCAAAUUAAAGAUUUGCUUCCAUUAGAGCUGAACAUUAUUUGGGUUUAAUAUGAUCCGUCUGAAGUUUGAGAGGAGUUGAAGAGUGUUGCUUGAAGUUGGCUCUAUAGGAACUGGUUUAAAGUCAGAUUAGCCUUUUUCCUCUCAAGAGUUAACGUUAGGGAUUACACCAUGCACUGUAAAUGGAUCUUAUAUCUGUGUUACUUUUUCAGAAAACUCUUGAGCCAAUUACUGUGGGAGGAAACAACAUGUUGGCAUGCCACAGAACCUUUUUACCCAAAGUCAUUUGGAGUUCCUCAGAUAAACACUAUAAUAUAGUGUAACAGGGGUCAACAUCCCACAGCUGGUUGGACUGGAGGAUGAUACUGUGCUGGUGGAAACAACACCUGACUCUGUACCACAGAUCAAGCAGUACCAGCACUUCAGCUUCGGUGCUCUGGAGCCUGGUGUUGUUGUCGCCAUGGACUGUUCGGACUCAGUGGGAACCAGGUUUCAGCUGCUGCGAAACGCUGACAUCCUUCCUCCCAUAGAUGGUCUGCCUAUACAAUCACCACCUGGACUUUACACAGACAAACGUAUCUUUUUGACAAGAUCAGGAAGUUUUAAGACGAAGAGGCUAUGGACGUCACAUGCCCUGCGCCAAAGUCAAGGGCAGGACAGAAACAGGCUCUACGAAUGUAGAUUCCCUUGUUCAUGCGUGGUUCGGAUGGACCAGUCAUCAGCACUAUCUGCAGUUCCUCUAUUCAAAUGACUCUCUCCUAACACACACGCCAUACGUUGCUGCUUCAAAAACAAAAAGAUAUCCUGCUGCUCAGCCACUUUACCCCUGAUUGUAUGCAUAUAACUACCUUGUCUAUCACUGAUAUUGAUAUUGUUCUUGUACAUACUGCGUAUUAUUUUAUUUAUAUUGAUGCCAUUUCUGAUAUUGCUACUAUACAAUUAACCAUUUGGCUGUACCGUUUACACCUUCUGUAGAGACCAAUCCACUUAGCAAGACUUAGCAGAAUAUUGAUAUAUAAAAUGAAUUUUGAUAUGUGUGGUCGUAACAUGAUUUUGUGACAUACCACAACAAUAUCAUGUGACCAUAUCAAGAGUCCACCACAUACAUAUAUGGCGCAUAAAUCUGUUUACGUACUGUUUAUGUACUGUAUGUACCUAUGCACCUCACUCAGGUUUCAACUCAGGUUGCAUGGCCUUAACUUAUGUAUGGAAUACUAUGUGAUAAGUGUGUGUGUAACAGUAUAUAAAAUAUGCUAAUGUACUGUUGUGAAGGCAUUUGGGCAGUGGUGUAAUGUACUUCAGUAAAAUACUACUUUUGUAUUUGGGGGUAUCUGUACAUUACUUUACUAUCUAUAUUUUUGGCAACUUUUACUUUACCUUCACCACAUUCCGGAAAAAAAAUGUACUUCUUACCCCAAACAUUUUCCCUGGCACCCAAAGUACUUCACACACUUAUCAAAAGAACAUCCCUGGUCAUCCCUUCUGCCUCACUAAACACAAAUGCUUUUUUGAAGUUAUGUCUGAGUGUUGGAGUGUGCACCUGCCUAUCCGUCA
Oncorhynchus tshawytscha (Chinook salmon) is the source of this 1723-nucleotide long non-coding RNA. The record is from Ensembl. NCBI's taxonomy places the organism in Eukaryota, Metazoa, Chordata, Actinopteri, Salmoniformes, Salmonidae.